Molecule: small RNA, 29 nt
Filed under: Bombyx mori (domestic silkworm)
Lineage: Eukaryota; Metazoa; Arthropoda; Insecta; Lepidoptera; Bombycidae
Description: ovarian small RNA-2597
Source: RNAcentral
CCGAGGUACGACGUAUCGUCCGGGGCAGA